CCUACGGGCGGCAGCAGUGAGGAAUAUUGGUCAAUGGGCGCGAGCCUGAACCAGCCAAGCAGCGUGAAGGAUGACUGCCCUACGGGUUGUAAACUUCUUUUAUAAAGGAAUAAAGUGAGGCACGUGUGCCUUUUUGCAUGUACUUUAUCAAUAAGGAUCGGCUAACUUCGUGCCAGCAGCCGCGGUAAUACGGAGGAUACGAGCGUUAUCCGGAUUUAUUGGGUUGAAAGGGAGCGUAGAUGGGUUGUUAAGUCAGUUGUGAAAGUUUGGGGCUCAACCGGAAAAUUGCAAUUGAUACUGGCAGGCUUGAGGACAGUUGAGGUAGGUGGAAUUCGAGGUGUAGCGGUGAAAUGCUUAGAGAUCACGAAGAACUCCGAUUGCGAAGGCAGCUUACUAGACUGCCACUGACGUUGAGGCUCGAAAGUGUGGGUAUCAAACAGGAUUAGAUACCCUUGUAGUC
RNAcentral lists this ribosomal RNA (460 nucleotides) under uncultured bacterium. Its description in RNAcentral is "partial 16S ribosomal RNA". It matches the Rfam family "Bacterial small subunit ribosomal RNA", at positions 338 to 795 of the family's 1533-position model. The record is from RNAcentral.